GGCACAACUUGGUUUUAUACACUUUAGGGAGACACAAGACAUUAAUCAAUACAGUAAGAAGUACACUGGUUUUGUCCAAAAAGGUGGGGAGAACUUGAAGCAGGGAGGGGUCUUCCAGGUCACAAGUAGGUGAGAGACAAAUAGUUGCAUUCUUUUGAGUUUCUAAUUAGCUUUUACAAAGGAGCCAAUCAGAAUAUGCAUUUACCUCAGUGAGCAGAGGGAUGACUUUGAAUAGAAUGGGAAGCAGGUUUGCUCUGAGCAGUUUCCAGCUUGAAUUUUCCUUUUAGCUUAGUGAUUUUGGGGGCCCAAGAUAUUUUCCUUUCACUUAGUCUAUACAUACGUCUCAUACCUCCCUCUUAAGAACUAGCAGCCAGGUGCAGUGGCUCAGGCCUGUAAUCCCAGAACUUUGGGAGGGUGGGGUGGGCAGAUCAUGAGGUCAAGAGAUUGAGACCAUCCUGGCCAACAUGGUGAAACCCCGUCUCUACUAAAAAAUACAAAAAAUUAGCCAGGUGUGGUGGUGUGUGCCUGUAGUCCCAGCUACUAGGGAGGCUGAGGCAGGGGAUUCACUUGAACCCAGGAGGUGGAGGUUGUAGUGAGCUGAGAUCGCACCACUGCACUCCAGCCUGGUGACAGAACAAGACUCCAUCAAGGUUGAUCUGGCCAUUGUCACCUCUGAAUGUCCAACGGUAAGUCACAAAGCUAUUUAUAUAUUUUUUCAACUUCAUGUCUAAGAAUUGGCUGAAAAGUGACAAUUCAGAACGGUUGAGUGAGAAAGAAUGAAAAAAAUCACAAUUCUGUGACAUAACUCGGGCUCCACACCCCGCCGGUCAAUGAUUUACAGAAUUAGAUACCAACCCAGAGAGGGAGAAAUUAGCCAAGACUGGCACUGAAAAAGGCAAGACUGCACAGUGAGAGGAAAUGGGACAGAUAGGACCAAUAAAGUAGGAGAAUUUCCAGGGAUGGUUACAGAUCACGACUCCACACUUGGUCACUGCACAGAUCCUGGAUGAACCACAGGAAGGAAGGGAACAGAAAAAGGCCCAGUUGGAACCCUCUGUGGUGUGAAUCAACAGGAAGAAACUCCAGGCACAAGAGUCAAGGCCCUAACUUUCAUCUGAAAAUGAUGCUUUCGUGGAAAAAGAGGCAGCAAAGCAAAAAAACAAUCUCCUCUCAAGAAUGACUACAUUAGCAUGCUGACACAAGAACAAAUACCCUUGCCACAAAGAAAUAAACUACAAUGGUGCCUUCCAUAGGGAUUGGUUCCAGGAACCCCCUUAGAUACCAAUAUCUGCAGAUGCUCAAGUCCCUGAUAUAAAGUGGCAUAGUAUUUGCACAUAACCUAUGCACAUCCUCCUAUAAAUCAUCUCUAGAUUAUUAGUAAUACCUACUACAAUGUAAAUACUACGUAAAUAGUUCUUAUACUGUAUUUUUACUUAUUUUUGUUUUAUCAUUUUUUAAUUUUUUCUGCCCUCCCACCCCAGAAUAUUUUUUCUUCUUUGUUGGUUGAAUCUGCUGAUGCAGAACCCAUGGAUACAGAGGCCAAGUGUAACUAAAAUCCAACGAAAAAAUGCCCAACAUUUCACUGUUUUUUUUUUUAAGAUUGAAAAAUAAAUUCACCUUCCCCAACCUGUUUUAAAAAAUACUUUAUAUCCUUAAGGAGCUCUGAACUUACAUAUACACCAGAGAUUUCCCAUAGAUACACAAUCUAUCAUUUACAUAGUUUAUGAGAAAAAAAGAUAUUUAAUAGUUAAAAAGGCAAGAAAAGAAAGGCAAGAUUUAAAUGUAGUGGUAACAAAUGUUUUUUGUGGUAAUAAAUGCUUUUUUCUUCCUCCCAGCUUUGUGGAAGUGUGGAGAUUCACAUUCAAAAUGAAGAAUUGUUUCGUGAAAUAAUUUGCAGAGGCUCAAUCAAGAGAAAUGAAAUUACUUAAAGAGCAAUUUCAACAUAGUGAAAGCCUGCUAGGGAGGUAGAUGCAGGUUUCUUAGUCAUCAAAUGCCAUGCUGACCCAGAUUCAGGGCAGAGUGAGCACCAAGCAUUUUGAAAGCUGAUCGAAUGGAGAGUCUAUUUUAAUUUUUUUAAGCUGCCAUUUCUUUAAAAAAAAAAAAAAAAGAAAGAAAGAAAGCCCCAGGGCAUGCAAAGAGUAAAAUAUACUGAUCAUUAAAAUAUUUAAAUUCACCAACAGCAGUGGUUAAUAAAACAUCAAAAUGAAAGUUUACAAAAAUUAGUCUCAACUUGUUUAAAGUAGCACACUCACCAAUGCAUGCGAUUUGUUAAUCAUGAUGGAGAUCUCAGAUGCUUUUGAAGAGGCUGAACUGAUAUGAGAAAGUCUUAACCAGUUGUUGCUUCUUUGAAGAAGAAGGAAGGGGCCACAAGCCAAGGAAUGUGGUGGCAUCUAGACACUGGAAAAAGCAAGAAAAUGAAUUCUCCACUAAAGCAUCCAGAAACACAGCUCUAAAGAUCCCCAGUUUUAGUCCAGUAUGACCCAUGUUGGACUUCUAAACCAUAGAAUUGUAAGAUACUAAAUUUAUGCUGUUUUAAACCAUUAUGUUCAUGAUAAUUUGUUACAGUAGCCAUAGAAAUCUAAUAAAAUUGAGA
RNAcentral lists this long non-coding RNA (2593 nucleotides) under Homo sapiens (human). RNAcentral describes it as "HSALNT0346111". The record is from RNAcentral. Lineage: Eukaryota; Metazoa; Chordata; Mammalia; Primates; Hominidae.